Molecule: ribosomal RNA, 459 nt
Filed under: uncultured Flavobacterium sp.
Lineage: Bacteria; Pseudomonadati; Bacteroidota; Flavobacteriia; Flavobacteriales; Flavobacteriaceae
Description: bacterial SSU rRNA
Rfam family: Bacterial small subunit ribosomal RNA
Source: RNAcentral
CCUACGGGAGGCUGCAGUGAGGAAUAUUGGUCAAUGGGCGCAAGCCUGAACCAGCCAUGCCGCGUGCAGGAUGACGGUCCUAUGGAUUGUAAACUGCUUUUGUACAGGAAGAAACACUACCUCGUGAGGUAGCUUGACGGUACUGUAAGAAUAAGGAUCGGCUAACUCCGUGCCAGCAGCCGCGGUAAUACGGAGGAUCCAAGCGUUAUCCGGAAUCAUUGGGUUUAAAGGGUCCGUAGGCGGUUUGUUAAGUCAGUGGUGAAAGCCCAUCGCUCAACGGUGGAACGGCCAUUGAUACUGACAGACUUGAAUUAUUAGGAAGUAACUAGAAUAUGUAGUGUAGCGGUGAAAUGCUUAGAGAUUACAUGGAAUACCAAUUGCGAAGGCAGGUUACUACUAAUAUAUUGACGCUGAUGGACGAAAGCGUGGGUAGCGAACAGGAUUAGAUACCCCAGUAGU